This 477-nucleotide ribosomal RNA is filed under the name uncultured bacterium. RNAcentral's name for it is "bacterial SSU rRNA". It matches the Rfam family "Bacterial small subunit ribosomal RNA", at positions 24 to 518 of the family's 1533-position model. The record is from RNAcentral.
UCAGGACGAACGCUGGCGGCGUGCUUAACACAUGCAAGUCGAGCGAUGAAGCUCUUCGGAAGUGGAUUAGCGGCGGACGGGUGAGUAACACGUGGGUAACCUGCCUCAUAGAGGGGAAUAGCCUUCCGAAAGGAAGAUUAAUACCGCAUAAGAUUGUAAUAUCGCAUGAUAUAGCAAUUAAAGGAGUAAUCCGCUAUGAGAUGGACCCGCGUCGCAUUAGCUAGUUGGUGAGGUAACGGCUCACCAAGGCGACGAUGCGUAGCCGACCUGAGAGGGUGAUCGGCCACAUUGGGACUGAGACACGGCCCAGACUCCUACGGGAGGCAGCAGUGGGGAAUAUUGCACAAUGGGGGAAACCCUGAUGCAGCCAACGCCGCGUGAGUGAUGACGGCCUUCGGGUUGUAAAGCUCUGUCUUCAGGGACGAUAAUGACGGUACCUGAGGAGGAAGCCACGGCUAACUACGUGCCAGCAGCUGC